CCUACGGGAGGCAGCAGUGGGGAAUCUUAGACAAUGGGCGCAAGCCUGAUCUAGCCAUGCCGCGUGAGUGAUGAAGGCCUUAGGGUCGUAAAACUCUUUCGCCUGUGAUGAUAAUGACAGUAGCAGGUAAAGAAACCCCGGCUAACUCCGUGCCAGCAGCCGCGGUAAUACGGAGGGGGUUAGCGUUGUUCGGAAUUACUGGGCGUAAAGCGCACGUAGGCGGAUUGGAAAGUUGGGGGUGAAAUCCCGGGGCUCAACCCCGGAACUGCCUUCAAUACUAUCAGUCUAGAGUUCGAGAGAGGUGAGUGGAAUUCCAAGUGUAGAGGUGAAAUUCGUAGAUAUUUGGAGGAACACCAGUGGCGAAGGCGGCUCACUGGCUCGAUACUGACGCUGAGGUGCGAAAGUGUGGGGAGCAAACAGGAUUAGAUACCCUGGUAGUCCACACCGUAAACGAUGAAUGCCAGUCGUCGGGCAGUAUACUGUUCGGUGACACACCUAACGGAUUAAGCAUUCCGCCUGGGGAGUACGGUCGCAAGAUUAAAACUCAAAGGAAUUGACGG
This 560-nucleotide ribosomal RNA is filed under the name uncultured bacterium. RNAcentral describes it as "bacterial SSU rRNA". It matches the Rfam family "Bacterial small subunit ribosomal RNA", at positions 338 to 916 of the family's 1533-position model. The record is from RNAcentral.